RNAcentral lists this ribosomal RNA (572 nucleotides) under uncultured bacterium. RNAcentral's name for it is "bacterial SSU rRNA". It matches the Rfam family "Bacterial small subunit ribosomal RNA", at positions 28 to 641 of the family's 1533-position model. The record is from RNAcentral.
GAUGAACGCUGGCGGUAUGCUUUACACAUGCAAGUCGUACGAGAGUUUUUAACUCUAGUGGCGGACGGGUGAGUAACACGUAAGAAUUUGCCUUUAGGAGGGGGAUAACAACUGGAAACGGUUGCUAAUACCCCAUAUGCUUUCGAGUGAAAUGGAUUUCCGCCUAAAGAGAAGCUUGCGGCUGAUUAGCUUGUUGGUGAGGUAAUGGCUCACCAAGGCGACGAUCAGUAUCUGGUUUGAGAGGACGAUCAGACACACUGGAACUGAGACACGGUCCAGACUCCUACGGGAGGCAGCAGUGGGGAAUUUUCCGCAAUGGGCGAAAGCCUGACGGAGCAAUACCGCGUGAGGGAUGAAGGCCUAUGGGUUGUAAACCUCUUUUUUCAGGGAGGAACAAAAUGACGUGUACCUGAAGAAUAAGCAUCGGCUAACUCCGUGCCAGCAGCCGCGGUAAGACGGGGGAUGCAAGUGUUAUCCGGAAUCACUGGGCGUAAAGCGUCUGUAGGUGGUUAAGUAAGUCAACUGUUAAAUCUUGAGGCUUAACCUCAAAAUCGCAGUCGAAACUGCUUGAC